GCGGGGUCCCGUGUAUGGCGGAGGAAGCUGCAAUACUCGGAGAGCGUGCGGGGGAAGGAGCGACACAGGUAUUAAAACACAGUUGAUGCUGAUGCAGUGCCUCAGUGUCAGAGGCUAAGGUGAGAGUCCAGCUGCUUCUGAGGACAUUAUCUGCUGCUAUCAAGAUAUUCAGACUGGGCUCCCUGGAGAACUGCGUCUUCCUAGAUGCAAUGCCAACACCCCUCUGAUCAACCUGCACAGUGCAUCAUGGGAGUCUCGUGGCUACAGAUGCAUCAUGGGAGGUAUAGUAGGGCCAGGGGGCUCUGCCCACAGGUGAGAAUGUGGGCAUCAGACUCCCAAACUACAACUCUCAAGAGAUUCAGAAACCGUGGAACAGAGAGAGUAAGUGGUUUACCGGCAUUCACAAAGCAAGUUUACAGAAGAGCUGACACUAGAACUUAACCCUCCUGACCACUCAUUCUAUGCUUAGCACUAAAGUGGUGUCCAACUUGAGACCCUAGCGUUUGCAGAAGUUCUCAGCACUCACAGCUGCACUUGAAGUCAUUGGGAGCUGUGUCUUGAACAUAUAAAGUGCUCUUUAAUGAAGUCUAAAGAUUAUGUAUCAGGGAAUGCUGGUCAGGAAUGAGGUGCAUUGGCAAUCCUGCCUGAGCAAAUGAGAACAGCUUCUACCCACACAGGCUGCUGGUGGAUCCUCUUGGAAGUAAGUUACACAACAGGAAAACAUGCCUGUAGGAAGAGAAUUGUUUUGACACCAUUAGCUGGGCAGACAGAAGAACAUGUGAAAAACGAACUCAGGAUAGAACUCUCUUCUCAUCCAUGGUGAGCCAGGGAGACUGUAUUACCAGAUGGUAACCGUGGGUAUACUUUGCAGCGUCAUCCUGCAUGAUGUGUGCAAAUGCUGAAUAGGACACCAUAUUGAGGCACCUGACAAAUGGAUCCACAAUGCUACUUUUGUAAAAAGAAGAUUAAAAACAACAACAGCAACAAAACAGUUAUUAUGUUCAAUACUAAGGGUCAAAUUUCUACUGUCAGUGUUGCAAAGCUCAGACAAGGAACUGAAUGCAAACAUUUUAGGGGCUGAACUGCGUAGUUGGGAAUCUAAAGAAUUUUCUGAACGCUCCAAAUAGCUUUUUAGACCAGAUUCAUGUUGGGGCUAAUGGAUUCCCAAAAGGGAGCAUGGUUUGCCAGAGAUGAGCAUUUUAAGUACAGUAUGUUUAUGUCCUAGGUGAUGGUGAGCUCCUUAAAUCAAGCUCUGAGGCUUAAGUGAGGAGAAUAACUAUGAAUUUUAAUGAUCAUGUCUUCACUGCUUAUGUAUGCUAGGAGGAUACUCGGACUCAACUACUAAUACAGUGCCCCAGCAUGCACUGGGGUAAAAUUCAGAGUGUAUUCUUUGUGGGGAAGACUCUUUGGUUGUUUUCAAGUCUUGAUUGUAAAUCUGGAGGCAAAAAUCUGAGAACAUUACAUCAUUACAUUGGUUUCUUCCAUCAUGGCACUGGCUAGUUCAUGUGAAACUUAACUUAUAUUUUUCUAUCAUAAAAUGUGCCUAUUGCAACCUCUACGCAUAAUUAUAGGAACAGAAUUAUUCUUCCAUUUUGGGGAAUGGUAUUUAGCUGAAUACCACAUAUUUUUACAGAUCUCAAAUGUGACGGUCCCCAAGCAAACAUUUGCAUGGAAGAACAUUAUGGAUGUAGAACAAUAUCUGGAUUUCAGUUCUAUAGGACUUUUUUUCUUUUUUUGGCAGAGUGACACAUUCCUGUCUGUUCAAGCUAUGAAAUGUACUCCACUCCCAUACAGACCAGGUAAUUGGUCUCUGUGGGCAAAAUGCUGAGAAGGAAGGAUAUGAUCUAUUAAAUGCAUCCUCUAACUGAUGUCCAGGGGUCUCCUCCCCUGACUUUAUACAGCCUCUCCCCCAACCCAUGCACUUGUGUAGUGUGUGCGGGCCAUAACUUUGCAUAAGUAUGGAUGGCUCUUCCCUGGCCUCUUUUUAAUUGUUCUCCUGUAUACUAGCCUAUGUGAGGCCAGUGGAGGAGCAUUCCACAAUGCAAUGAGAGCACUGAGAGACACCCUUGAGCAACUGCUCCAUCCUGGCUCUCCACGUCAGCUCCUCAAACAGCUCUAAGUCAGCAUUUAGGUGGUGCAAAAGGCCUUGUGUUGGCCCUCUCUUUGUGAGCAAAAUUCAGUGAGGUGAGAUGAGCCUUGCCAACCCUUCUGUUAUGACCAAUAAUCUCUCACAGCAAUUCCUGGGUUGGAAUUUUCACAAAUGUUUGGCCAGUUCUUGGUUUAAGUGGCCACAUCAUCUUAGUGGGUUGGAAACUGAGUGGAAUGUAAUGACGGAUCACACGGAAUGGUUUUGUGCUGCAGGUGGAGGCUACCUCUAGGUUUUCAGUCAGAAGAGACUUGACAGUGAUUAACUCUGUUGAUAUCCAUUUGAAUUCUUCCUGUAAGGAAGUCUGCUCUGCAGCAGGGCUUGAGGAAGAAGGCGACUGAAAUAUACUAGAAUAGCACAACAUAAUGUGGUGGUUUUUUUGGUUAACAUCAAAGCUAUUUACAGUGUAUCUUGCGAGUUUAUGCAUAUUGUUGCUCUCAUGGGUUUGGCCACUAAUUAGCACAAACCACUUUUUGGAAGAGGAUUAAAAAAAGAGCAUGUAUCCCUUUUUUAAGGUUAUAAUGAUAAGAAAAAUGAGGCUUACUUAUGCCCCUUUCAAAUAAGACCUUGUGGAAGCACUAUAAUAAGUCAUUUGUUCUCUUUAAAUAUAGUUUAGCUUCACACAGGCACACACACACUCAGAUGGUUUCCACUUGAAAUUCCUCAUCAAAUCCAAAUAGCUGCCAGCCUUGUCUGCUGAACUGUGAAGGAGCUCCCUCCCCCACCUCUCCUUAUAGACACAGAAGUGUGCAGUAUGCCUGUGGCAUUCAGUGCCUGCAGAGUGUGAGACUGCAAACUUUUAUUUUAGGGAGUACACCAUGCUAAACUCUGUCCCUGCAUCUGCUCUCUCUAAAGAGGAGAAGAAGCAGAACAGUGUUUAGAGGGCUUUGGAUUCUUUCUUUAUUAUAUGCUCUAGCUUCCUCAUUUUAAGCUUGAAGUUUACAAGCCUACAAGGAAGAGUUGCUUAGCAUUUGAAACUGACAGUCAGGUCCAUUUAGUCCAGAGGGGAAACAGAAGUGAAUAGUCCCAUUAAGCUGUAUAUAUCCUUACUACUCAAUGUGUAUAAACUAAUGUGCUGUAUUGUUUAUAAAUCUUUAAUAGAGUGUUUUAAACAAAUAACUUUUUUUUCUUUUAGAGUAGAAAGGGCUUAUGUAAAAUUCAGGGUCAGAUGGAUACAAGAAGCCUGUUAGGUUAGUGUGUACUGCAAAUCCAGAUAAUCACAGCACGAUAUAUUGUACCUACUUUCAUAUUCCAUCAGCAAUAUGUUCUGGAGUUGUGUGUGUGUGUGUGUAUCAACCAGGGUCAUCUUGAUAAUCUGAUUAUUGUGAGAUGCAGAAUUUAGCACCAGGGAUUGUUUGUUUGUUUUGUUGGAAGAUAUUUACCUUGUUUAAUAUUUUAACAUGAUUAUUGUCUUCAUGGGCCCAAACUAUCAUGUGCAUGUCAAAGAACAAAUAAAAAGGCAGGAGUUUGCAGUCUAAAUUUAGACAUGAUGUGUUGAGUGAGGAUAACAAAUAGAAUUGGAGUGAUAGGGUAAGGAAGGACAAAGGUUGCAGAUUAUGUGAUUAUUCAGUCUAAGCGUAUGCACUGUUCACUAAUACUUUCCUACUUUCCCAUUCCCUACUGCAGCCAGAUACUGCAUGAGGGAGGCCAAAGAUUAGUUCUCAGGGGCACGGACCAUCUUUGUGGUAUCUGUUUUUACAGUGUUUAAUAUAAUGGGACUCUAAUCCCUGUUUGAGGUUCCUAACCACCAGCACAAUACAAAUAAUCCAUAAAGCAUAGUACACAUAAUAUCCCUCAGCCCAAUUCUUCUCAGAGUGCACAGUCUCUUUGUGUCAGGCAGACACUGAUAGGGCUCCUUGCAAAUGUAUCAGAGGUAGCAAAGUAAUCUCUUCAUCUGGAGCCAUGAAUCUAUGUACCUGACUUCCUGAGGUUAAUGUAAUUUCUUUCACUGAGUCUCCUUUAGGCAGAAACAAGAUCUAUGUAGAUUGUAAGGAUGCAUCCAAACUUUGGAUACUUACCCUAAUCUUUUGACGCUUGUUCAUCAUGAAUAACAGCAGAGCUAUCUGAGCUUGAAGCUAUUGGAACUUGAUGCAACAACCUUGUCCCUUCUUACUAUUUGAUAAAUAUCAGUGUCUGACAUUUCUGGAUCUAGUAGUAUCAUGGAUGUAAGCAGGGUCUGAAUGAGUUCUCCCCUGACAUCUAGUGAUCCACCAGGGGGAAGAGACUUCAGGAACAGACCAUAGGUGCAUAGAUACACUUACUCUGCCUAGAUGGUCGGCAGUCAAAGCUGCUUUGCCAAAGUGAACAGUUUUGGCUGGUUUUUGGUUACUAUUCCCUUGAGUGCAGGGUAAUGAAAUGUUAUCCUCAUUGUAUGAGUAAAGGGCAGCAGAACUGUACUUAGUCUGCCUUGACUGAGGAUGUCACCCUAAACUGAACCUUACUUGCUAAGCAGGGAGUAGGGAUGGCAAAACCCAGUGAAAAUGAUGGGAAUAGUUGUUCCUAAAUAAUAAGUUCCAGACACUUUUUGUCCCUCCCAUCUCCAGUGUUUAAAGACAGAGCUGUUUUGUUUCAUGGUCUCUGUGUGUAUAUAAUGUCUUCUGCAGUUUCCACGAUAUGCUAUGCAUCCGAUGAAGUGAGCUGUAGCUCACGAAAGCUCAUGCUCAAAUAAACUGGUUAGUCUCUAAGGUGCCACAAGUACUCCUUUUCUUUUUAGCUGAGUCCUUGUUACUGUUCAGCGAUUACUAGAGCUGAAAUCACUGACGAGCAGGGUGGGGAUAACCCUUAAAUCUGGUGCGGGGUCAGUGUUGCACUGAAAGACAACAAAGAGGCAAUAGCACAGAGCAAUCACUAAGUGCUUGCGAGUGGGAAAAUACUGCUUCUCAAAAGGCACUCCAGUAUAGUGUUCAGUUUUCCCAGAUUACUGGGGGGAUGCUGAGGAUGAUUCUGUUUCUAAGGGCAAGUCUACACUAUGGCAGGGAUCAACGCUCUGAGAUCGAUCCACCGGCAGUCAAUUUAGUGGGUCUAGUAAAGACCUGCCAAAUCGACUGCAGAUCACUCUCCGGUAUUCUUCUCGCCGAGAGUAGAGUACUGGAAAGGUAAGUCGACGGGAGAUUUUCUCCCAUUGACCCCCCUGGGAUGUAGACCCCACGGUAACUCGACCUAAGGUACGUCGACUCCAGCUACAUUAUUCACAUAGCUGGAGUUGCAUAGCAUAAGUCGACUUACCGCAGUAGUGUAGACAUAGCCUUAUUGUUAAGAGGAAUGCCUUGGAAUUGAACCCGGCCCUUGUUGCUGUGGACUCCACGUGGCAGAAGGGCUACAUACAGGUAUUAACUCGAGCAGAGGUCCAUGUGACCCAUAGCCCAGAUGUUAGAUUCAAACAUCUGAGUAUUUCUCAGUGAAUUUGACUUAUGUUAAUACUACUUGGGUGGGACAGAUAACAUUUAAAAGGAACAUAGUUCUCAAAGCCAUUUCCCUAGAGACACAAAUGUCAAGGGAUUUCACUGACUAGUAGUGUAUAACAGGUUUGUGAGCAACAAAAAUAAUUAUUAAUACAUAAAAAUGGAAAGCCCAGUCUUCAAAAUCUUGCUUUGUGGCCUGGGGAAGCCUGAUAUAUACAUAGGUUCAGAUCGCAAUACGAUUUGUUACUGCUCAACAAGGCUUGACAAAUGUGAAGAGGGUGCUAGCAGUGUGAGCUAUUGAAAAGUGUCAUCAGUUCUGCUAAAGCUUAGGUGCCGACUAAAAAUGGUGGGUGCUCUGCACCCACUGGCAGCUCCCCACCCCAGCUCACCUCUGCCUCCUCUCCGCCUCCUCCCCUGAGCGCGCCGCUGGGUCCUGCUUCUCCCCACUCUCUCCCAGCGCUUGCUCCGUGAAAGAGCUGUUUCGCGCGGAAAGCCAGGGAG
Long non-coding RNA from Chelonia mydas (Green sea turtle), 6048 nucleotides. RefSeq lists it as uncharacterized. The record is from RefSeq and is a predicted model, not a curated record. Lineage: Eukaryota; Metazoa; Chordata; Testudines; Cheloniidae. The transcript is spliced from 7 exons.